This 252-nucleotide ribosomal RNA is filed under the name uncultured bacterium. RNAcentral describes it as "partial 16S ribosomal RNA". It matches the Rfam family "Bacterial small subunit ribosomal RNA", at positions 524 to 776 of the family's 1533-position model. The record is from RNAcentral.
CACGUAGGGGGCGAGCGUUAUCCGGAAUCAUUGGGCGUAAAGGGUGCGUAGGCGGCCUUUUAAGCGCGGGGUCUAAGGCGGUGGCCCAACCACCGUUCGCCCCGCGAACUGGAGGGCUAGAGUGUCGGAGAGGGAAGCGGAAUUCCUAGUGUAGCGGUGAAAUGCGUAGAUAUUAGGAGGAACACCAGUGGCGAAGGCGGCUUCCUGGACGAAGACUGACGCUGAGGCACGAAAGCGUGGGGAGCGAACAGG